AUUGAACGCUGGCGGCAGGCCUAACACAUGCAAGUCGAGCGAGCGGCGGACGGGUGAGUAAUGUCUGGGCAACUGCCUGAUGGAGGGGGAUAACUGCUGGAAACGGUAGCUAAUACCGCAUACCAUAAAAUGUGCCAAGAUGGGAUUAGAUAGUAGGUGGGGUAACGGCUCACCUAGGAGACGAUCCCUAGCUGGUCUGAGAGGAUGACCAGCCAAACUGGAACUGAGACACGGUCCAGCCUCCGACGGGAGGAAGCAGCGGGGAAGAUUGCACAAUGGGCGCAAUCCGGAUGCAGCCAUGCCGCGUGUGUGAAGAGGGCCUUCGGGUGUUAAAGCACUUUCAGCGGGUAGGCGUUACCCGCAGAAGAAGCACCGGCUAACUCCGUGCCAGCAGACGCGGUAAUUC
This 406-nucleotide ribosomal RNA is filed under the name uncultured bacterium. RNAcentral describes it as "partial 16S ribosomal RNA". It matches the Rfam family "Bacterial small subunit ribosomal RNA", at positions 30 to 526 of the family's 1533-position model. The record is from RNAcentral.